Molecule: ribosomal RNA, 399 nt
Filed under: Stiphrosoma humerale
Lineage: Eukaryota; Metazoa; Arthropoda; Insecta; Diptera; Anthomyzidae
Description: partial 12S ribosomal RNA
Source: RNAcentral
UCUGGGAUUAGAUACCCUGUUAUUUAAAAUGUAAAUUUUUUACUUAGGUAGUAAUAGUUAUGUUCUUGAAACUUAAAAAAUUUGGCGGUAUUUUAGUCUAUUCAGAGGAACCUGUUCUGUAAUUGAUAAUCCGCGUUGGACCUUACUUAAAUUUGUUUAGCAAUUUAUAUACCGUUGUUAUUAAAAUAUUUUUGAGAAAAAUAAUAUUUAAUAAUUUUGAUAAAAAUUUAUAUCAAAUCAAGGUGUAGUUUAUGUUUAAGUAGAAAUGGGUUACAAUAAAAUUAUUUUAUGGAUAUAAAUAUGAAAAAUUUAUUGAAAUUGGAUUUGAUUGUAAAAUUAUAAAGAUUAAUAAUUUGAUUUUAGCUCUAAAAUAUGUACAAAUCGCCCGUCACUCUCUGA